RNAcentral lists this ribosomal RNA (429 nucleotides) under Acidobacteriota bacterium. RNAcentral describes it as "Acidobacteria bacterium partial 16S ribosomal RNA". It matches the Rfam family "Bacterial small subunit ribosomal RNA", at positions 355 to 776 of the family's 1533-position model. The record is from RNAcentral. Lineage: Bacteria; Pseudomonadati; Acidobacteriota.
UGGGGAAUUUUGGACAAUGGGGGAAACCCUGAUCCAGCCAUCCCGCGUGUGCGAUGAAGGCCUUCGGGUUGUAAAGCACUUUUGGCAGUAAAGGAACGUCAUGGGUUAAUACCCCGUGAAACUGACGGUACCUGCAGAAUAAGCACCGGCUAACUACGUGCCAGCAGCCGCGGAAAUACGUAGGGUGCAAGCGUUAAUCGGAAUUACUGGGCGUAAAGCGUGCGCAGGCGGUUCGGAAAGAAAGAUGUGAAAUCCCAGAGCUCAACUUUGGAACUGCAUUUUUAACUACCGGGCUAGAGUGUGUCAGAGGGAGGUGGAAUUCCGCGUGUAGCAGUGAAAUGCGUAGAUAUGCGGAGGAACACCGAUGGCGAAGGCAGCCUCCUGGGAUAACACUGACGCUCAUGCACGAAAGCGUGGGGAGCAAACAGG